UUUCGCAAUGCCCGAAAGGGUGACGAAGCGACGCCGCGUGCGGGAAGAAGGCCUUCGGGUUGUAAACCGCUGUCGGGAGUUAAGAAAUGUAAGGAUGUUAAUAGCAUCUUUGCUUGACUAAGGCUCCAGAGGAAGCCACGGCUAACUCUGUGCCAGCAGCCGCGGUAAUACAGAGGCGGCAAGCGUUGUUCGGAAUUAUUGGGCGUAAAGAGCACGUAGGCGGCUAUGUAAGUCGGUUGUGAAAGCCUUCCGCUCAACGGGAGAACAGCAUCCGAUACUGCAUGGCUUGAGUGCGGGAGGGGAGAGUGGAACUUCUGGUGGAGCGGUGAAAUGCGUAGAUAUCAGAAGGAACGCCGGCGGCGAAAGCGGCUCUCUGGCCCAUAACUGACGCUGAGUGUGCGAAAGCUAGGGGAGCAAACGGGAUUAGAUACCCCGGUAGUCCUAGCCGUAAACGAUGGGCACUAAGUAGAGGGGUUUU
This 478-nucleotide ribosomal RNA is filed under the name uncultured Planctomycetales bacterium. Its description in RNAcentral is "bacterial SSU rRNA". It matches the Rfam family "Bacterial small subunit ribosomal RNA", at positions 364 to 832 of the family's 1533-position model. The record is from RNAcentral. Lineage: Bacteria; Pseudomonadati; Planctomycetota; Planctomycetia; Planctomycetales.